RNAcentral lists this ribosomal RNA (393 nucleotides) under uncultured bacterium. RNAcentral describes it as "bacterial SSU rRNA". It matches the Rfam family "Bacterial small subunit ribosomal RNA", at positions 505 to 898 of the family's 1533-position model. The record is from RNAcentral.
GUGCCAGCAGCCGCGGUAAUACGUAGGGUGCAAGCGUUAAUCGGAAUUACUGGGCGUAAAGCGUGCGCAGGCGGUUUGGUAAGACAGAUGUGAAAUCCCCGGGCUUAACCUGGGAAUUGCAUUUGUGACUGCCCGGCUAGAGUGUGUCAGAGGGGGGUAGAAUUCCACGUGUAGCAGUGAAAUGCGUAGAUAUGUGGAGGAAUACCGAUGGCGAAGGCAGCCCCCUGGGAUAACACUGACGCUCAUGCACGAAAGCGUGGGGAGCAAACAGGAUUAGAUACCCUGGUAGUCCACGCCCUAAACGAUGUCUACUAGUUGUCGGGUCUUAAUUGACUUGGUAACGCAGCUAACGCGUGAAGUAGACCGCCUGGGGAGUACGGUCGCAAGAUUAAA